UCUAUUAAUUCUUACCACCACCUUUAGUGGCUAUCAGAGUGAGUCCUGCAAUCUUUGCAUGGAGACGCUGAACAUCAAUCGUGCAGAGUUUCCUCCCUGCCAUCAACACUACUGCUGGGGGCAAAUGCAUCUAAAUAGCCCUAAGACCACUCUAACGUUAGGAGUGCAUAUUUGUAUUCCCAACAUUAGAGUGUUUCUUUAAGCAAUAAAUCUGCAAGGCAUCCCCCCAGUCAUUCCUGC
This is a non-coding RNA of Pelobates cultripes (western spadefoot toad), 240 nucleotides long. NCBI's taxonomy places the organism in Eukaryota, Metazoa, Chordata, Amphibia, Anura, Pelobatidae. The record is from the annotation of a GenBank genome assembly.